CUACGGGUCGCUGCAGUGAGGAAUUUUGCGCAAUGGGGGAAACCCUGACGCAGCAACGCCGCGUGAGCGAAGAAGGCCUUCGGGUCGUAAAGCUCUGUCAAGUGGGAAAAAAAUCUUUUGAUCAAUAGUCAAAAGACUUGAUGGUACCACUGGAGGAAGCACCGGCUAACUCCGUGCCAGCAGCCGCGGUAAUACGGAGGGUGCAAGCGUUGUUCGGAUUUACUGGGCGUAAAGAGCGUGUAGGCGGUUUAGCAAGUCAGAUGUGAAAGCCCUGGGCUCAACCCGGGAAGUGCAGUUGAAACUGCUUCACUCGAGUAUGGGAGAGGAGAUUGGAAUUCCUGGUGUAGAGGUGAAAUUCGUAGAUAUCAGGAGGAACACCCGUGGCGAAGGUGAUUCUCUGGACCAAUACUGACGCUGAGACGCGAAAGCGUGGGGAGCAAACAGGAUUAGAUACCCUUGUAGUC
This 464-nucleotide ribosomal RNA is filed under the name uncultured bacterium. RNAcentral's name for it is "partial 16S ribosomal RNA". It matches the Rfam family "Bacterial small subunit ribosomal RNA", at positions 339 to 795 of the family's 1533-position model. The record is from RNAcentral.